AGCUUGCUCCUUUGACGUUAGCGGCGGACGGGUGAGUAACACGUGGGUAACCUACCUAUAAGACUGGGAUAACUUCGGGAAACCGGAGCUAAUACCGGAUAACAUUUGGAACCGCAUGGUUCUAAAGUGAAAGAUGGUUUUGCUAUCACUUAUAGAUGGACCCGCGCCGUAUUAGCUAGUUGGUAAGGUAACGGCUUACCAAGGCGACGAUACGUAGCCGACCUGAGAGGGUGAUCGGCCACACUGGAACUGAGACACGGUCCAGACUCCUACGGGAGGCAGCAGUAGGGAAUCUUCCGCAAUGGGCGAAAGCCUGACGGAGCAACGCCGCGUGAGUGAUGAAGGGUUUCGGCUCGUAAAACUCUGUUAUUAGGGAAGAACAAACGUGUAAGUAACUGUGCACGUCUUGACGGUACCUAAUCAGAAAGCCACGGCUAACUACGUGCCAGCAGCCGCGGUAAUACGUAGGUGGCAAGCGUUAUCCGGAAUUAUUGGGCGUAAAGCGCGCGUAGGCGGUUUCUUAAGUCUGAUGUGAAAGCCCACGGCUCAACCGUGGAGGGUCAUUGGAAACUGGGAAACUUGAGUGCAGAAGAGGAAAGUGGAAUUCCAUGUGUAGCGGUGAAAUGCGCAGAGAUAUGGAGGAACACCAGUGGCGAAGGCGACUUUCUGGUCUGUAACUGACGCUGAUGUGCGAAAGCGUGGGGAUCAAACAGGAUUAGAUACCCUGGUAGUCCACGCCGUAAACGAUGAGUGCUAAGUGUU
This 762-nucleotide ribosomal RNA is filed under the name Staphylococcus saprophyticus. RNAcentral describes it as "bacterial SSU rRNA". It matches the Rfam family "Bacterial small subunit ribosomal RNA", at positions 77 to 824 of the family's 1533-position model. Lineage: Bacteria; Bacillati; Bacillota; Bacilli; Caryophanales; Staphylococcaceae. The record is from RNAcentral.